GGAGCACGCUAUUUUCCUGUAUUCCUUGAGUUUCUUAUGGAUCCCCAGUUGCUGCCUCCUUCUGAAGCACAGGUUAUUAGAGAGGCUGAAAACCAGACUGGAACAGGCUCUUCAAAGGCAACCUCC
This is a long non-coding RNA of Alosa alosa (allis shad), 126 nucleotides long. RefSeq lists it as uncharacterized. NCBI's taxonomy places the organism in Eukaryota, Metazoa, Chordata, Actinopteri, Clupeiformes, Clupeidae. The record is from RefSeq and is a predicted model, not a curated record. The transcript has 3 exons.